Molecule: ribosomal RNA, 462 nt
Filed under: uncultured bacterium
Lineage: Bacteria
Description: bacterial SSU rRNA
Rfam family: Bacterial small subunit ribosomal RNA
Source: RNAcentral
GACGAACGCUGGCGGCGUGCCUAAUACAUGCAAGUCGAGCGCAUGACGAGGAGCUUGCUCCUCUGAUUGAGCGGCGGACGGGUGAGUAACACGUGGGCAACCUGCCCUGUAGACGGGGAUAACUUCGGGAAACCGGAGCUAAUACCGGAUAAUCCUCUUCCCCACAUGGGGAAGAGUUGAAAGGCGCUUUUGCGUCACUACAGGAUGGGCCCGCGGUGCAUUAGCUAGUUGGUGGGGUAAUGGCCUACCAAGGCGACGAUGCAUAGCCGACCUGAGAGGGUGAUCGGCCACAUUGGGACUGAGACACGGCCCAAACUCCUACGGGAGGCAGCAGUAGGGAAUCUUCCACAAUGGACGAAAGUCUGACGGAGCAACGCCGCGUGAGUGAUGAAGGUUUUCGGAUCGUAAAACCCUGUUGUAAGGGAAGAACCAGUACGUCAGGCAAUGGACGUACCUUGACGG